AACGAACGCUGGCGGCAUGCCUAACACAUGCAAGUCGAACGAGACCUUCGGGUCUAGUGGCGCACGGGUGCGUAACGCGUGGGAACCUGCCCUUAGGUUCGGAAUAACUCCCCGAAAGGGGUGCUAAUACCGGAUAAUGUCUUCGGACCAAAGAUUUAUCGCCUUUGGAUGGGCCCGCGUUGGAUUAGCUAGUUGGUAGGGUAAAAGCCUACCAAGGCGACGAUCCAUAGCUGGUCUGAGAGGAUGAUCAGCCACACUGGGACUGAGACACGGCCCAGACACUGAGGGGAGGAAGAGGGGGGAAAUAGGGGAAAAGGGGAAAAAGCCUAAAAAAAAAAGGCCGGGGGAGAAAGAAGGGCGUGGGGGUUAAAAAGCUUUUUCCCCGGGGAAAAAAAGAAAGGAAGGGGGAAAAAAGGCCCGGGAAAACCCCGGG
Molecule: ribosomal RNA, 433 nt
Filed under: uncultured bacterium
Lineage: Bacteria
Description: partial 16S ribosomal RNA
Rfam family: Bacterial small subunit ribosomal RNA
Source: RNAcentral